UAUAUCUAAAUCAGCUCGCAAAAGCUGCAGAUCUCUUGUCUGCAGAUAUAUAUUCAAAGACAAAAACACAAAUUCACAAGACAUUCAUUCUCAGACACACACUCAAAUUCUAUUUUACAGGCAAAGUGAUAAAGAGUUGUAAACACAUAUAUAAAACUGCAUUUUCGGAAACACAUACAUACUCACAAAGACACACAAAUAAUUAUUCAGAGACACACACUGACAGAAACAAAUACACAGUACCAUACACACAAUGCCACAUACACACACUUACUGUCAGUCAUUUAUUUCCCACUGCCCCCAUCCCCAGCUACAAAGAAGUCAUAGAGCAGGGGUCCUCAAACUCCGCCCCCCCAGAUGUUACUGAACUACAACUCCCAUGAUUUUCUGGCUAUCUAUGUAAUUCUAAGAAUCAUGGGAGUUGUAGUUCAGCAACAUCUGGGGGGCCGGAGUUUGAAGACCCCUGUCAUAGAGGAUGCAAUGCUUUUUGGGCUUACUGAACACAUGAACAGCUUGAAAAUGCAUCACCUAUAGCCAAGUUGCUUUAUGACAAAGUUGUUUUACCUCAAAUUUAUCCAGCCUUUUUUACUUAUGGAAAAGGCCGCAUAAACAGGAGAAGUGAAGGUAGCAAACUCUGUAUGUAGGUGUUUGAUAGGUUUGGCCAGCUGAAAAAAACACAAGUUUCCUGCGUCAUAAUCCAAAUAUAUUCCUAAAGCUUCAAUAGGAGAGCUGGUAGUCACUAAUGUUUUUACACCAUUGUUAACAACUGCAUAUUUACCCAUUUUAUAGUAACACAUGCACCAUGAAUCGUCAUUAUCUCCCAAAGUGCAAUCUUUGUUUUGUGAGUAAGACACUCCAACACUCCAACUUGGCAAGUCACUGGUUUCUACUUCCCAAUAAUGUUGUCCUGAUGAAAUGGCUGUGGAGCUAUAGGUCAGAGACGUACAAUGUUUUUCCUUAAGAUUCAUUGAUGAGUCCAGAAGGCUUCCAAGUUCAGAGGCAUUGCCUUCAGUCGGAUCAUUUGCGUUCCUCAGCAUUAUAUGGAUUAAAUUCUGCACUGCAAAACCAUGGUUUUUUUGAAGUUGUGGAAUACGUUGUAUUACCUUGAUUAGCCCAGACUCUAAAUGCACUGUUACCAAUAACACAUUCAAUCCUG
Non-coding RNA from Pelobates cultripes (western spadefoot toad), 1156 nucleotides. The record is from the annotation of a GenBank genome assembly. NCBI's taxonomy places the organism in Eukaryota, Metazoa, Chordata, Amphibia, Anura, Pelobatidae.